GGAAGGGCAGCCUUGUAAUUAAGGCACUGGACUGGUUCUCAGGAGACCUGGGUUCAAUUCCCAGCUCUGCCA
RNAcentral lists this transfer RNA (72 nucleotides) under Chelonia mydas (Green sea turtle). It matches the Rfam family "tRNA". From Rfam's summary of the family: Transfer RNA (tRNA) molecules are approximately 80 nucleotides in length. Their secondary structure includes four short double-helical elements and three loops (D, anti-codon, and T loops). Further hydrogen bonds mediate the characteristic L-shaped molecular structure. tRNAs have two regions of fundamental functional importance: the anti-codon, which is responsible for specific mRNA codon recognition, and the 3' end, to which the tRNAs corresponding amino acid is attached (by aminoacyl-tRNA synthetases). tRNAs cope with the degeneracy of the genetic code in two manners: having more than one tRNA (with a specific anti-codon) for a particular amino acid; and 'wobble' base-pairing, i.e. permitting non-standard base-pairing at the 3rd anti-codon position. Lineage: Eukaryota; Metazoa; Chordata; Testudines; Cheloniidae. The record is from Rfam by way of RNAcentral.